GUCGUCAGCUCGUGUCGUGAGAUGUUGGGUUAAGUCCCGCAACGAGCGCAACCCUUGUCCUGCGUUGCCAGCGGUUCGGCCGGGGACUCACAGGAGACUGCCGGUGACAAACCGGAGGAAGGUGGGGACGACGUCAAGUCAUCAUGCCCCUUAUGUCCUGGGCUGCACACGCGCUACAAUGGCCGGUACAGAGGGCUGCGAAUCCGCGAGGUGGAGCCAAUCCCCUAAAGCCGGUCUAAGUUCGGAUUGGAGGCUGAAACUCGCCUCCAUGAAGUCGGAGUCGCUAGUAAUCGCGGAUCAGAACGCCGCGGUGAAUACGUUCCCGGGA
Molecule: ribosomal RNA, 328 nt
Filed under: uncultured bacterium
Lineage: Bacteria
Also listed under: 1 other name
Description: bacterial SSU rRNA
Rfam family: Bacterial small subunit ribosomal RNA
Source: RNAcentral